AUUGAACGCUGGCGGCAUGCCUUACACAUGCAAGUCGAACGGCAGCGCGGGAGCAAUCCUGGCGGCGAGUGGCGAACGGGUGAGUAAUAUAUCGGAACGUGCCCAUUAGUGGGGGAUAGCCCGGCGAAAGCCGGAUUAAUACCGCAUACGACCUGAGGGUGAAAGCGGGGGAUCGCAAGACCUCGCGCUAUUGGAGCGGCCGAUAUCAGAUUAGCUAGUUGGUGGGGUAAAGGCCUACCAAGGCAACGAUCUGUAGUUGGUCUGAGAGGACGACCGGCCACACUGGGACUGAGACACGGCCCAGACUCCUACGGGAGGCAGCAGUGGGGAAUUUUGGACAAUGGGCGCAAGCCUGAUCCAGCAAUGCCGCGUGCAGGAAGAAGGCCUUCGGGUUGUAAACUGCUUUUGUCAGGGAAGAAAUCCUUUGGGCUAAUACCUCGGAGGGAUGACGGUACCUGAAGAAUAAGCACCGGCUAACUACGUGCCAGCCGCCGCCGUAA
RNAcentral lists this ribosomal RNA (500 nucleotides) under uncultured bacterium. RNAcentral's name for it is "partial 16S ribosomal RNA". It matches the Rfam family "Bacterial small subunit ribosomal RNA", at positions 29 to 523 of the family's 1533-position model. The record is from RNAcentral.